UACUCUUUUAAGACAUUACCAGAGACAGUAGCCGGGAAUCAAACGAAACCCUUAAUCAGCUACCGAGGAUGAAUACAAACAUUUUCACGAUAAGUCUUUGGUAAUGCGAGAAUCAAAGACUUUUUUGUUUUUGCA
Non-coding RNA from Candidatus Saccharibacteria bacterium GW2011_GWC2_44_17, 135 nucleotides. Lineage: Bacteria; Candidatus Saccharimonadota. The record is from Rfam.